UACGUAGGGUGCAAGCGUUGUCCGGAAUUAUUGGGCGUAAAGAGCUCGUAGGCGGUUCGUCGCGUCGGCUGUGAAAUCCCGAGGCUCAACCUCGGGUCUGCAGUCGAUACGGGCGGACUGGAGUACUGCAGGGGAGACUGGAACUCCUGGUGUAGCGGUGAAAUGCGCAGAUAUCAGGAGGAACACCGGUGGCGAAGGCGGGUCUCUGGGCAGUUACUGACGCUGAGGAGCGAAAGCGUGGGGAGCGAACAGG
Molecule: ribosomal RNA, 253 nt
Filed under: uncultured bacterium
Lineage: Bacteria
Description: partial 16S ribosomal RNA
Rfam family: Bacterial small subunit ribosomal RNA
Source: RNAcentral